UCCCUUAUAGCUCAGUGGUAGAGCGCGUCACUAGUACGGAAAUACUCCGGCCAUGACGAGGUCCAUAGUUCAAGUCUGUGUGAGGGAA
Molecule: transfer RNA, 88 nt
Organism: Tulasnella calospora
Lineage: Eukaryota; Fungi; Basidiomycota; Agaricomycetes; Cantharellales; Tulasnellaceae
Rfam family: tRNA
About the family: Transfer RNA (tRNA) molecules are approximately 80 nucleotides in length. Their secondary structure includes four short double-helical elements and three loops (D, anti-codon, and T loops).
Source: Rfam